RNAcentral lists this unclassified non-coding RNA (198 nucleotides) under soil metagenome. RNAcentral's name for it is "partial contains 5.8S ribosomal RNA, internal transcribed spacer 2, and large subunit ribosomal RNA". The record is from RNAcentral.
AAGACUAUAGACCUGCGGAGUACCUGCGGAGGGAUCAUUAAUGAAUUUUAGGACGUUCUUUUUAGAAGUCCGACCAUUUCAUUUUCUUACACUGUGCACACACUUCUUUUUACACACACUUUUAACACAUUAGUAUAAGAGUGUAAUAGUCUCUUAAUUGAGCAUAAACAAAAAUAAAACUUUCAACAAUGGAUCUCU